This 447-nucleotide ribosomal RNA is filed under the name uncultured bacterium. Its description in RNAcentral is "bacterial SSU rRNA". It matches the Rfam family "Bacterial small subunit ribosomal RNA", at positions 335 to 800 of the family's 1533-position model. The record is from RNAcentral.
ACUCCUACGGGAGGCAGCAGUGGGGAAUCUUGGACAAUGGGCGCAAGCCUGAUCCAGCCAUGCCGCGUGAGUGAUGAAGGCCUUAGGGUCGUAAAGCUCUUUCGCCAGGGAUGAUAAUGACAGUACCUGGUAAAGAAACCCCGGCUAACUCCGUGCCAGCAGCCGCGGUAAUACGGAGGGGUUAGCGUUGUUCGGAAUUACUGGGCGUAAAGCGCGCGUAGGCGGAUCAGAAAGUUGGGGUGAAAUCCCGGGGCUCAACCCCGGAACGGCCUCCAAAACUCCUGGUCUUGAGUUCGAGAGAGGUGAGUGGAAUUCCGAGUGUAGAGGUGAAAUUCGUAGAUAUUCGGAGGAACACCAGUGGCGAAGGCGGCUCACUGGCUCGAUACUGACGCUGAGGUGCGAAAGUGUGGGGAGCAAACAGGAUUAGAUACCCUGGUAGCUCGAUGU